AAGCUGAUGCGGGGUGCAGAAACGUACGUCGUGAUCCACUAUAAAAGCCCGUUAACUUCCAUUCUCGAAUGCAUAUAUUUGCGCCUUUGUCUUUGUGUUUUAUCCCCACACCGUUUGGCAACUGGUGUUGGUUUGUGGAGUUCCCCUGUUUUGCGGUUCAGCAAAAAAUACAACAGAGUGACGUGAUGAAAACACUCCUUGUUCUCUGCUUUUGGUACUGUGUGCUACUUUCAAACGUCUUAACGUAUAAGUUAGUCCAUGAUGAAGCUGCUCUCAGUGCUCGGGAACCUGUCGAUGGUUCGCUAAAUAGAGAGGCUAAAAGACGUGAUAUUAAAUGUGCAAUAUAUAAAUGGACAUGCACUGUCAAAAAGACUACAAUAGAAUAUACUUGCUGUGAAGGUAUGGAGUGUAGAUGUAACCCGUUCUGGAAAUCGAACUGCCGCUGUUAUGAAUUGACAUAUGAAGAUAUUGGAAUCAACCCCCCAUCUGGCUGAUUCCGUUUCACACAACAUUUAUAUACUCCUCUGACUAUCUUAUUAUAUUGUUGUUCAGUUUACGCUCCAAUAAUUCCUUUGUUUGUUCAGACAGAAGCUAAAGGAAAUGAACUGUUUUGCUGUGAGAAUUUGUCAUGUAGAUGUAACGGCCUUUUGAAACCCAGCUGCCCUUGUCAUGAAGUUUAUAAUGAACACCUCGGAAUAGCUCCCAUUGGAUGACCAUUCCGUUCCGCAAUGUAUUUUAUUUUCCUUUCGAUUAUUUAUUUUGUUGCUGGUCAGGCAAGAGUUUUCACAUGCAUGAGUAUAUAUUCAAUAAAGAUAGCUUGUUGAGAAUUUCUUACACACAA
RNA transcript from Octopus bimaculoides (California two-spot octopus), 841 nucleotides. RefSeq lists it as uncharacterized. The record is from RefSeq and is a predicted model, not a curated record. Lineage: Eukaryota; Metazoa; Mollusca; Cephalopoda; Octopoda; Octopodidae.